UCGUGAAAACCGGGGGCUUAACCUCUGGCGUGCGGGCGAUACGGGCAGACUGGAGUACUGCAGGGGAGACUGGAAUUCCUGGUGUAGCGGUGGAAUGCGCAGAUAUCAGGAGGAACACCGGUGGCGAAGGCGGGUCUCUGGGCAGUAACUGACGCUGAGGAGCGAAAGCGUGGGGAGCGAACAGGAUUAGAUACCCUGGUAGUCCACGCCGUAAACGGUGGGUACUAGGUGUGGGUUUCCU
This 241-nucleotide ribosomal RNA is filed under the name uncultured Mycobacterium sp. Its description in RNAcentral is "partial 16S ribosomal RNA". It matches the Rfam family "Bacterial small subunit ribosomal RNA", at positions 592 to 832 of the family's 1533-position model. The record is from RNAcentral. Lineage: Bacteria; Bacillati; Actinomycetota; Actinomycetes; Mycobacteriales; Mycobacteriaceae.